Operophtera brumata (winter moth) is the source of this 94-nucleotide microRNA precursor. It matches the Rfam family "mir-980 microRNA precursor family". Lineage: Eukaryota; Metazoa; Arthropoda; Insecta; Lepidoptera; Geometridae. The record is from Rfam.
AUUACCAGUUUGUUGUUCAUUGCGCUGCGUGUUUUUUUUUUACAAGAGCGAGAAUAUUUGAAACACGCUGCGCAAUGAACAGCAAACUGGUAAU